RNAcentral lists this long non-coding RNA (301 nucleotides) under Homo sapiens (human). RNAcentral describes it as "HSALNT0124299". Lineage: Eukaryota; Metazoa; Chordata; Mammalia; Primates; Hominidae. The record is from RNAcentral.
GGCGAGAUGCAGGAGUGUCCUUCUGUGUGAGCUCAUCUUUCCUGGGGUGGCGGGGCUCAGGGCUGAGCGGGCUGGGGAGACGAGUUGGAAAAUUUCACACUCAGCCUCGCCACUUGGCCAGCUUCUGCGUGUUUGGCAGCUCAGGUGACUUGUGGUGGGGGCCCUCGAUCAACACUUCCAUCCCGCUGAAUUCCUAGAAGACAGGAAUUUAUGGUGUGAGAGCUCCAGUCCCCGCAGACCCACUGCCAAGGUCAACAGCACGAGGCGGGCAUCCCUGCCAAGUGGGGAGUGGAGUCGUGGC